UAAAUGGGGAAAGCAAAUGGAGGAAGGAGAAAGUUUUGUCAAUAAAAACACCUGACUUGUAGCUUUCAAAAAGUGAAAAAGUCUUGAUGUCUAAAAGUUCCACAUAUUACUACACGAAAAGGACUCGAGUGCCAAAGAAGUAGAUGGGAAUGUUAUGCCCCUAUUGUUAUAUUUGGCUCAUGAGAAGAGACCUCAAGUUGCACAUAACUUCAAAGCUGGAGCCAUGAAUUCAUUGGUAUUGUAUAUACCUUUCAUGCGUUAACAUUUAUGGUAAGGUUUGUGCAUGAUGCUGUGAAAUUAAUCAUUGGUUGUAUUAUGUGUUCUUGGUCCUAAAUGCAUAUAAGAGUGUCAUCAAUGAUUAGCAACGGGGAAAUUAUCCUUAAUGUAGAUUGUGACAUGUGCAUGCCUUUGUUGGAUGGCUUUGUCUUCUGCUGAUGGUUCAAAAGAGUGCUUCCUAUGAUUUUGUAGUUGGUGGCCAAAAGGGUUGGAGUGUUCCCAAUGAUCCCAGUUUCAAUCCUUUCAAUCAAUGGGCAGAAAAGAGCCGUUUUCAAGUUGGAGACUCCCUUGUGUUCAACUACCAAUCUGGCCAAGACUCAGUGUUGUAUGCAAGAGUGAAGACUAUGUGAGCUGCAACACCGAUUCACCUUAGGCAAAAUUCUCUUAUGGCUACACAGUCUUUAAGCUAGACAAAUCAGGGCCUCACUUUUUCAUAAGUGGAAGCAAAGACAACUGCCUGAAAAAUGAGAAGUUAACAGUGAUUGUGCUUGCUGAAAGGAACAAAAACAACAACCAAA
Molecule: non-coding RNA, 794 nt
Organism: Vigna umbellata (rice bean)
Lineage: Eukaryota; Viridiplantae; Streptophyta; Magnoliopsida; Fabales; Fabaceae
Source: RefSeq, a predicted model, not a curated record